RNAcentral lists this long non-coding RNA (253 nucleotides) under Mytilus galloprovincialis (Mediterranean mussel). The record is from RNAcentral. Lineage: Eukaryota; Metazoa; Mollusca; Bivalvia; Mytilida; Mytilidae.
GUACAAAGCUGCUUGAUGAUAUCAUAACUCUUAUAUCAAAAACUUAAACCUGAAACUUAACCUGGUUUUUUAACAUUGAAAUUCUAUUAAGAAAGACAAAGUCAACGUGUACCUUAACCUUGCAAGGACAGACGCAUAGACAGAAGAACUAUACGUCCAGUUUGCCUUGCAGGCAUAGCUAUAUAGUUCAAAGAAAACAUAAGACACUAUUUUAACCAACAAGAUUGUGUAUGGCCUUUGUUUCUACUGCCGA